GCUUUAAGAGUAGCCCAGUAGAAUAGCUCCAGUGACUAAGCGCCACCAUACUGAAUCACCCCCACCCCCUCAUAGUCAUAGCUUCACACUCAGAAUUCUUUUAGGAUGAUGUGUGUGUGACUUGGUUGGUAAAACUCUUUGUUAACACUCAGGGCUGAAGGUUUGAGGAAAGAUGCCUGGAUUGAGCCGUUUCCUCCUGAGCUUCUGUAUUCUAGGAUACAUUUUCUGCAGUUCCAGGGCUUGGCACGUAA
Molecule: long non-coding RNA, 251 nt
Organism: Monopterus albus (swamp eel)
Lineage: Eukaryota; Metazoa; Chordata; Actinopteri; Synbranchiformes; Synbranchidae
Exons: 3
Source: RefSeq, a predicted model, not a curated record